CCCGGCCCUGCGGCCCCCCAGACGGCGGACCCCGCCCCCAAGGGGGGGGACCAGGUAACCUGCUUCCGAGACGGCCAUGGCGUCACCCCACCCGCUCCCCCCCAAGUCUCAAUCAAUCUCACGUUUUCUGCCGGCUGGGAAGGAAGGAUUGGAGCGGUGAGGGGAGGUUCAUUUCGGCCGCCUGAAGUUUUCUUUCCAACUGGGAUUUGUGGCGAGGCCGGGCGGAGGGAGCGGGACGACGACCCGGGCGCCCGACGCGGAGCUCAGGCAUCGGCGUCCUGGCCGGAGCCGGGGUGUGCGCCGGGACCCACCCACUCAGGCUUCGCAAUAAACUGUGCGGUGCAAUUCAGAAAACGGCACCGGGGAGUCCAGGACACGAAUCAGGAUGAAUUGAGGGAAUGAAUUGAGAAGGAAAUUCAGGUCUGAGAUGAAGCUCAACUAUUUUGAAAGUGCUUUGCAGUGCAAGUUUAAAAUUAGAGUGUUGACUUGCUUUUACUCCCCAGGGCUUGUGCCGCAUUCACCAAAGUCAAAGGAGCGGGUGAGGGUCCAAAAAGUUGGUCCGGGGGAAGUGUCGCCGUCACUACCAGAUCAUGGUAUGUCCAACUCACCCCAAAGAAGUCAAGGUUAUGUUUACAUACUAAACCAGGGGUUCUAUUUCAUCCUCUACAGUCGAAUAAUCCUGGCUCUGAGACUCACAAUUGUACAUGUAGAAAGGAACCUUUGUAUAAACUAUAGUAAUUCACUGCA
Neogale vison (American mink) is the source of this 747-nucleotide long non-coding RNA. RefSeq lists it as uncharacterized. The record is from RefSeq and is a predicted model, not a curated record. Lineage: Eukaryota; Metazoa; Chordata; Mammalia; Carnivora; Mustelidae. The transcript has 2 exons.